RNAcentral lists this long non-coding RNA (420 nucleotides) under Micromonas commoda. Its description in RNAcentral is "long non-coding RNA (MCOM_LNC000343)". The record is from RNAcentral. Lineage: Eukaryota; Viridiplantae; Chlorophyta; Mamiellophyceae; Mamiellales; Mamiellaceae.
UUUGUUGGACAGCUGGUGCACCGGGUGCUUCUUGUACCACGCCUGCAGGCGCCCGACGUAGAGCUGGACGACGGUGGCGCCCGCGCGGCCGAACGCGGCGGCUUGCUCGAGGCAGUGCACCUGCGUCACGUGGCAGCGAACGCCCUCAGCCUCCAACGCCCGAACCGCCUCGACGCCCGCCCAGGUUCCGGGGAUCUUGAACAGGUACUUCUCGCGGUCGACGUUGAUCUCGUCGAACAUCGCGCGCAUGUGCCUCGCCUUGGCGAUGAUCUUAUCGGAGUUGAGCGCGGUGACCUUGUCCUCGACGAUCUCGAUGGAGACCAAGCCGCCGACGCGCUCAGCCAUCAUGCCGCCGAGGUUGACGAACGCCUUGUCGAUGACGCACUCGAGCCUGGCGUCCUCGGAGCCGGUGAAGUCCAC